Molecule: long non-coding RNA, 1697 nt
Organism: Triticum aestivum (bread wheat)
Lineage: Eukaryota; Viridiplantae; Streptophyta; Magnoliopsida; Poales; Poaceae
Exons: 2
Source: RefSeq, a predicted model, not a curated record
CAUCUCCACCCAGCCUCUAACAUGCGCCCCGCUAUUAAUGCCCAUUGCUCCGCAAUCUUCUCCCCUUCCCAUCCCAUACUUUUCCUUCUCCCCUCCAGCCGCGCUCACAUCUUCUACGCAAGCGGCAGCCCAUCAAGCCCUCCAUCAAAAAUCUUAUCCUGUCUACAAUACGGCGCGGCGGCUGGGAUCCCAUCUCCAGCCAGGUGCUCCUCUGGCACGACACGACCACCGAUCUGGCUCGCCUCCGUGACACUCUGGGAUUCUCUUGGGCUACGCUUUUCUUGCUGGUGUGGUACCUACAUCGUAAGAGGCGGUGCCCUAGUCCUCCCCUCCCGUCUAUGUCUCCGUUUCAUCCAAGGUAGCUCCAGCGCUGCUCCUCCACUGGCCGUCUGCGACACCCAAGCCAGCCGCAACCUCUUCUUGGGUCCACCGUCCAGACAGUUGUCACCUUCCUUCCCCGUUCAUGUGUGCCGCCCAAGCUGGCCGCACAACCAUCAGCGACCCACAUCGGAAGCGUCACUCCUCCUAUGGACGCCACUGCAACUGCCCCAUCGCAACAACAGGCCAUUGCACGCAUGUUGACUCUGUGUAGAGAGCUAUGUUGUGGAUUUCCCCCUUUUGACUAUUUCCAAAAAAUUAAGUGUUGCGUGUGAAGAAUUUUUCAUAUGAGUAAUCAAGAUUGGUACUUGACUGUCGAAGUUUCUCUUUCGAUUCCUAUAAUCUCUCUAUUCCUCUUCGCCAUAGUGUCUUUAUCCAUCAUCUUCCUUUUUUGUUAUUUUUUGGGAUGUGUACUUGCACAUGUGUCUCUUGAUUUUGCAGCAGGCCGUACCUAUUCUAGUACUGCAUGGAGGUAUACGCACGGAUGUUUCAUCUUGUGUUUGGUCAUUCAAGCCCAUGCUGCAUUCUAAUUUCUUCCCCUUCCCUUACUGUUGUGCAUCAGGAUGUUCCAUAUGCCUGCCUGUUUAUCUGUAUUCAACCUUCUGACCACUACAUUUUUAUUCGUCUACAGAGAUCGAUACUGCACUGUAUGAUGAGAUGAUCUGCUCAAGAUUUUUAUGGUUAAUGUUGUCACUUUGUGAUUAUCUCUAUACUACAAUCUGUAUGUUUUGGCAAUAAUGACAAUGGUUUGUUCGUUUUAUUCCUAUAGGAUUGAUGCUUCAACUUAUCAUGCAUGUACUAAGUAUAAAGGUUUAGUAUUGCAAAACUUCCUUUACUUCCAGUCUGGUGCUGCCUCAACCUGCACAAAGAUUGGGAGAAAAGGAUGGCAAUCAACUUCCUAUGAGGCAACAUGAUCAGGUAGAUAUGCAGCCGGCUGAAGUGUUUGCUUGGUCAGGGGAGGAGAACUGCUGCAUCACACAUGAAGUACACAAUGAUCUGUUGCCAUGAAGAGAGACACCCCAGAUCAAGAUAGUCGCAAUAUUUUGAUGAUGAUUGCAGGUUACUUUUUUUUGUAUUCGGUGACUGAGUCUCAAUCAUUCCGUUGGUUUAUUGUCAAGAGUUAAUUCAACAUAUAUGCACACCCAAGAGUGUUUACAAGUAUAGGCAUGUGAACUGUCCAAGGAAGAUGAUAGUAUCUGAUGGAAUCAUCUAGCAGUUCCUGAUGAUUGCGCUCUCAAGUGCUAUUUUCCUAAUAUAUAGAUGUAAGAAUAUCUCCUGCUUUAAUUUUUAUAACAGAUUUUUAUUCUUUUAUUGCUUCA